CCCUGUUUCCUGAGAAAUUUGAAACAGAUUCUCUAGGGAUAUAUCAAAGGAUAUUUCAGAAGUGUUCUAUGUUGCUUCUCAAAGUCAUCUUCUCUAGUAAUUAGGGUCCCAGGAUAGAAACCAGGUGCUUCAACUCUUUCAUAUAUCAGUAUAAAUUCACUCAUCUUUUAAAAAUGACUUAAUCUUUCACAUUGAACAGAUUGCACUCCUUAGUACCAUUCUUCCAAAGGUGGUGAGGAAAGACUACCAGGUGCUCAUAAACAGGAUUGCCAUGGCUUUGCUUGGGAUGUCAAUUAGGAUAAACUAUUUGUUACUGUAAUAGCCAAAAAGUCUUAGUGCCUUAAAACAAACAAACAAACAAAAAGGUCAUUUUUUGUUCAUAUUCGGUUCCCCAAAAUGAUUGCACUGUAGUUAUUUUGAGGUUCAGACUGAUAGAGACUUCAUCUUAGGAUGUUUUCAUCUCACCAUAAUUUUCAGGGUUUGCUGUGGUAGUGGAAAAGAACAGGUGAACACAACUGUUAAAUAUUUCCAUCAGAAAGUGAAACAAGUCACCUCUGCUCACUUUAUUCAGCCAAAGUAAGUCCUGUGGCUGCACAUAACUUCAAAAGUAAGAGUAUCAGUAAUCUUGGUGAAUGCUGGAAGUGAGAGGAUGGUGGCAUAGCCAGUAAGUAAGUUGAAAAGAAGUUUGAGUGGAUUUAAAGCUAUACAUGAUAAGCCCAGAAUGCCCACAAACAAUUUUCUGCUUAUAACAUUUAUUGUUUCUUUCAAGGGUACCAAAGGAAAUAGAUCAAUAAAGAUAAAUUCUGUAACUAAAUGAUGCUCUCACGUGAGUCAAAUGAACUGGAGGCUCACUUCUUACUGAGAGUGUGAAAUGCCACAGGAGUAGCUAGAGUGAUAGAACUGAGCCAGUGGGACCACUCAGCCAUGCCUCUCACAUUCUGCUGCCAUCGAGGGAUUACCAGAGGCCAUGGGAAUCACUGAAUGCACUUGAGGUCCUGUGUGCUGCAUCUGCCUGGGUCUUGAGAGCACGAUAUGUCACCAUCCAGUGGUGGAUUAGUUCGCAACAUCUGUGUUCCAGUGCUACAGUUAUUUUGUUUCUGAGGAUACUUUACUAAAAAGAAAGCAAAACAAGCUGAGCAAAACAAGUAAGACACUGUCAAAGAGCAAAACAGUGACAAAUCUUAAGUUCAAUGGAAGUCUGAUAGGAGAUGUUUUGGGGUAGUUGGUCCUUCAUGUAAAAGAAGGUUAGCUCCUGAGUAAAGGAAUGCAAAUAAGAAAAGGUUGUCAUUAUCAUCUUCAAAUAUUGGCUAAAGCUGAGCACAUUGAGGCAAAAAAGGUAUUUGACAAGUAGCUUUUAAAGUCUCUUCUCAUACUUUAGGUUGAUAAUUUCAAAUGUCCUUCUACUCUGGUUCAAAAUCACUUGAUUGUAUAUUUUAGAUACAUUGUUACGUUAUCGAAAUCUUCACAAUUCAGUGGAUAUAGGGUUUAUUAUUUAACACAUGGAGAAACUGAAAACUAGAGAUGUUGGGUAAUUUUCCCAA
Molecule: long non-coding RNA, 1541 nt
Filed under: Callithrix jacchus (white-tufted-ear marmoset)
Lineage: Eukaryota; Metazoa; Chordata; Mammalia; Primates; Cebidae
Description: lncRNA (ENSCJAG00000076873.1)
Source: RNAcentral